This 238-nucleotide long non-coding RNA is filed under the name Elaeis guineensis (African oil palm). RNAcentral describes it as "long non-coding RNA (EGUI_LNC061002)". The record is from RNAcentral. Lineage: Eukaryota; Viridiplantae; Streptophyta; Magnoliopsida; Arecales; Arecaceae.
GGCUCGAAGAUGCUAGUCUGCGAACAACUUCGACAGCUGACAUUUUUCUUCUUCUACAAGCACCUUGGAUACUUCAAAGUGAUAAAAGAUCUGGAGGAAGAAGAGAGAAGGAGGACAAGAGGCUCUAAAAAUAAAAAAUCUAUAAAAAAAUUAAUCAUGGGACGUCCAAGAGAGGGGUACCCUUUUUAUAGACUAAGAAUUAGAACUUUUCAAGAAAUGAUGCCAUGAAUCAAUGCCA